Molecule: ribosomal RNA, 301 nt
Filed under: uncultured bacterium
Lineage: Bacteria
Description: partial 16S ribosomal RNA
Rfam family: Bacterial small subunit ribosomal RNA
Source: RNAcentral
CAGUCGCCGCGGGAAAACAGAGGAUGCAAGCGUUAUCCGGAAUGAUUGGGCGUAAAGCGUCUGUAGGUGGCUUUUCAAGUCCGCCGUCAAAUCCCAGGGCUCAACCCUGGACAGGCGGUGGAAACUACCAAGCUGGAGUACGGUAGGGGCAGAGGGAAUUUCCAGUGGAGCGGUGAAAUGCGUUGAGAUCGAAAAGAACACCAACAGCGAAAGCACUCUGCUGGGACGACACUGACACUAAGAGACGAAAGCUAGGGGAGCAAAUGGGAUUAGAUACCCCUGUAGUCCCUGUCUCUUAUAA